CCUACGGGGGGCUGCAGUGAGGAAUAUUGGUCAAUGGACGAGAGUCUGAACCAGCCAAGUAGCGUGAAGGAUGACUGCCCUAUGGGUUGUAAACUUCUUUUAUAUGGGAAUAAAAUGUUCCACGUGUGGGAUUUUGUAUGUACCAUAUGAAUAAGGAUCGGCUAACUCCGUGCCAGCAGCCGCGGUAAUACGGAGGGUCCGAGCGUUAUCCGGAUUUAUUGGGGUUAAAGGGAGCGUAGGUGGAUUGUUAAGUCAGUUGUGAAAGUUUGCGGCUCAACCGUAAAAUUGCAGUUGAAACUGGCAGUCUUGAGUACAGUAGAGGUGGGCGGAAUUCGUGGUGUAGCGGUGAAAUGCUUAGACAUCACGAAGAACUCCGAUUGCGAAGGCAGCUCGCUGGACUGCAACUGACACUGAGGCUCGAAAGUGUGGGUAUCAAACAGGAUUAGAUACCCGAGUAGUC
Molecule: ribosomal RNA, 460 nt
Filed under: uncultured bacterium
Lineage: Bacteria
Description: partial 16S ribosomal RNA
Rfam family: Bacterial small subunit ribosomal RNA
Source: RNAcentral